Molecule: ribosomal RNA, 482 nt
Filed under: uncultured bacterium
Lineage: Bacteria
Description: partial 16S ribosomal RNA
Rfam family: Bacterial small subunit ribosomal RNA
Source: RNAcentral
GAUGAACGCUGGCGGCGUGCUUAACACAUGCAAGUCGAACGGUGAAGCAGAGCUUGCUCUGUGGAUCAGUGGCGAACGGGUGAGUAACACGUGAGCAAUCUGCCCCUGACUCCGGGAUAACAGUUGGAAACAGCUGCUAAUACCGGAUACGAGCUGCGAAGGCAUCUUCGGCAGCUGGAAAGAAUUUCGGUCAGGGAUGAGCUCGCGGCCUAUCAGCUUGUUGGUGAGGUAAUGGCUCACCAAGGCGUCGACGGGUAGCCGGCCUGAGAGGGUGACCGGCCACACUGGGACUGGGACACGGCCCAGACUCCUACGGGAGGCAGCAGUGGGGAAUAUUGCACAAUGGGCGCAAGCCUGAUGCAGCAACGCCGCGUGAGGGAUGACGGCCUUCGGGUUGUAAACCUCUUUUAGCAGGGAAGAAGCGAAAGUGACGGUACCUGCAGAAAAAGCACCGGCUAACUACGUGCCAGCCGCCGCGGUAA